This 497-nucleotide ribosomal RNA is filed under the name uncultured bacterium. RNAcentral's name for it is "partial 16S ribosomal RNA". It matches the Rfam family "Bacterial small subunit ribosomal RNA", at positions 28 to 507 of the family's 1533-position model. The record is from RNAcentral.
GAUGAACGCUGGCGGCGUGCCUAAUACAUGCAAGUCGAGCGAACAGACGAGGAGCUUGCUCCUCUGACGUUAGCGGCGGACGGGUGAGUAACACGUGGAUAACCUACCUAUAAGACUGGGAUAACUUCGGGAAACCGGAGCUAAUACCGGAUAAUAUAUUGAACCGCAUGGUUCAAUAGUGAAAGACGGUUUCGCUGUCACUUAUAGAUGGAUCCGCGCCGCAUUAGCUAGUUGGUAAGGUAACGGCUUACCAAGGCAACGAUGCGUAGCCGACCUGAGAGGGUGAUCAGCCACACUGGAACUGAGACACGGUCCAGACUCCUACGGGAGGCAGCAGUAGGGAAUCUUCCGCAAUGGGCGAAAGCCUGACGGAGCAACGCCGCGUGAGUGAUGAAGGUCUUCGGAUCGUAAAACUCUGUUAUUAGGGAAGAACAAAUGUGUAAGUAACUAUGCACGUCUUGACGGUACCUAAUCAGAAAGCCACGGCUAACUACGUG